CACUAUGCUUAGCCGUAAAAUAUUAACCCACACCAAGCCCGCCAGGGAAUUACAAGCCCAAGCUUAAAACCCAAAGGACUUGACGGUGUCCCACCCUUCUAGAGGAGCCUGUUCUAUAAUCGAUUCUCCCCGAUCUACCUCACCGUCUCUUGAAUAUCCAGUCUGUAUACCUCCGUCGCAAGCUUACCAUGUGAACGCACACAGUGAGCCUAAAGAUUCACCACCCACACGUCAGGUCAAGGUGCAGCCCACGGAACGGAAAGAAAUGGGCUACAAUCUCUACCAUAGAACAAACGGAAAACUGCAUGAAACACAGUUACUGAAGGCGGAUUUAGUAGUAAAAAGAAAAUAGAGAGUUCUUUUUAACUAGGCACUGGGACGCGUACACACCGCCCGUCACCCUCUUCAAACAGAAGACUUAAAGUCACUAACACCAUAUAAUUAUAUAGAAGAGGCAAGUCGUAACAUGGUAAGUGUACUGGAAAGUGCACUUGGAAUAAACAAAAUGUAACUUAAUAAAAGUACCCUGCUUACACCAAGUCUAUGUCUGUGAAACCCCGACCAUUUUGAGCCUAAAUCUCAGCCCUAUUAAAACCCCAAUGAAUUUUCUUUUAUUUCUCCAACCCACCCCUAAAACAUUCUUUCAACCAAGUAAAGGCGAUUAAAAAGUUACUAGGAGCCCCAACACCAGUACCGCAAGGGAAAGUUGAAAUAAAAAUGAAAUAAAUUUAAAGCACUACAAAGUAAAGACUUCCACUUGUACCUUU
Molecule: ribosomal RNA, 767 nt
Filed under: Choerophryne sp. SJR8505
Lineage: Eukaryota; Metazoa; Chordata; Amphibia; Anura; Microhylidae
Description: partial 12S ribosomal RNA
Rfam family: Bacterial small subunit ribosomal RNA (bases 1-507)
Source: RNAcentral